GGAGGGCACGGGAGGGAGGAAGUGCCGCAGUUUUCAGGGGAGGAAGAUGGGCGAUUCGGAUAAUGACUUCCUGGUAAGUUGGACAUCAAUGCAAGUGGGCAAAAGUGUAGAAAGGAGUUUUAAAGCUGUGCCAAGGGUUUACCUAGAAUAAGUCAAGCCCCGUCCGCCUCCAUCCUUUUUUGGGAGGAUGACUCUUGGGUGAAGAGAGCCAUGCUGGGUGUUUUUCACAGUGAUGGAAAAAACAGAGAGCUGUGGGCCUGUGUCCCGACCUGAAUGGCCAUGCCCAAGGAGAACUAAGAAACAGGGAUUUGAUAUGACAAUGAGCAGAAAAAGAAAAGAAAAGGAAAGGAAAGGAAAAAGAAAAAAAGAAAAACAAAAAUAAAAGAAAAGGAAAGGAAAGAAAAGAAUCUCCUCUUGUCUUUUGACUUUCACAAGCAGCCGCCGGCCUGGACACAAUGGGACAGGAAAUGACUUACCCUGAAGCUCAACUAACCUAGCGUGGGGCGUGUCAGGUCAAGUGCUCUGCUCUGUACCCGUGGUACGAUUCAUCUGUUCGUGCAGUAUUAGCUGAACACUUGCCCCACGGCAGACCCGGAGUCGCGGAGCGGGAGCCCGGGGAGACCCCUGUCAUCUAGCAGGGGACCAGGACAGGGGAGCUACAUUCCAGAAAAUUUUGUGAGGCUCUCAAUGAUCUUAUGUGGUGGGGCCUCAGUGAAAAAGGAGAGCACAUCCUGAGGCAGGUGGAUGGAGCCCGAAGAGGGGAGAGGAACCGCCUCAGAUUCUGAGAAGUGCGUGGAGGCAGGCAAUGGGAUGCCAGGCUCCACAGGAGCUAUGUGUGAACUCACCAUCUGUCUCACUGCAGCUUCCUGGGAUCCAGUCCCUCGUCUUCUCUGCCCUUAGGACACAGUUCUUCCUUCUGCCCCAGGGAGGCUGUGGAAGAAGGAAGGAAGCUCCAGAGUCUGGAAGAGGUGCCCACUUGCGCUUGCCCCCCUGAACCCUAACUGCAAGACUACACUCAUUCCUGUCCAGGUUUAUCUUGUCAUCCUGAUGGCAUCCUCCAUUUUUUUCCUGAAGAGAGAGGUGGCACAUCUGUCACCAGUGGCUAAUGAAAGUUGGAAAAAUCUGCUUCUGCACGUGUCUGGAAGUGGACUGGAGUAGACAGAAUGUGUCUGGAUAUGGCUGUGCAUGUCCCUGGGAACAGAAAGCCUGAUCCUGUGUGUGGCCCCUCAGCCCACCUCCAUCCAGGUGCGGAAACUCCAGCCCGAGGGGGGGGAGGACACGACCAUCUGUCUUCCUCCCUUGCCUCUGGCCUCCCUAGGUUUCCUGUCUGGCAGAUGCAAAGUAGCCUCAUCAUCUGUGGGGGGGCGGGGGAACCUCAGCCGCUGGCUGGAUACAGCCAAGACCCCAAGCAUCUCCUCCACCCAUGUCCUCCUCCCCUACCAGGAUGUGGCCCCAGUGCUGGCUCCCGAAACUGUUCCAAUUAGAGAGGGAGCGUGGUGUUUGAUGUCAACCACCUGGGGAAGGGGGAAGCGGGGGUCCAUCUGUCCUUUCGGCCCUUUGUUAUGUGGGCUUUUCCAAGUUCAGACAAGGCCCAGCCUCCUCCCUCUGAGUUGUGGGUCCCACAUCUGGGUUGAGGAAGGGAGUGAGAGGAAGGGGUGGGACCCCUUGGAAAAGGAUCAGAGCUCUGGGGCAGGGAGGUGGGGAGUUUUUUCCAGAGCCGGAUGGGCAGUGCUGCCAGGCAGUCAGAACCCAGCCUAGGGGGAAGAGCCAGGCUCUGCUCAUCUUCCACUCAGAUGUCUCUCACUUUCUGAGAAGUAGAAAUUCAGUGGCUACAAGAUCAAGAUCAUGUUAUGCGUACUGUGUGUCUUGCCCAGUGAGAUGGACGUCUUUGUUAAAGUCUGGAGCACACUGGGUGGAUUUGUGGUGGAGGAUGAAGACUGUCUUAGGCUUCAUUUGCUGGGAUCAGAAACCCACUGGAGCUGGCUCAAGUGAAGUGGGUUAUGGAGGCAGACAGAGGAAGCCAGUCACCAAAUGGCAACUCACCGUACUUCUCCCUGAGUGCAUAGCCCCUCCACUCUGCCCCAUUCUCCUCCUGCAAGCUCUCCUCCUCAGCUUCCCCAUAACUCCCACGGAGCUAUGGCUACAGGGUGCCCUGGCCUGUCCUCUCACUAACCCCUCAGGGACCCUGUAGUGGGUUGAAUGGCGUUCCCGCAAAAUUCAUGUCCACCUAGAACCUUAGAAUGGGACCUUAUUUGGAAAUAGGGUCUCUGAAGAUGUAAUUACUUAAGAUGAGGUCAGACUGGAUUAGACUGGGACGUAAAUUCAAUGACAGGUGACCUCGUAGGAGGAGAGGACCCAGAGACACAGAGAGACGAGGGCCUUGUGAAGAAGGCCAUGCAGAGACAAGAGAGAAGGCCACGUAAAGACAGAAACAGACAUUGGGAGAUGCAGCUACAAGCCAAAGAGUGCCAAGGAUGCCAGAAACCACCAGAAGCUGCAAGAGACCAGGAAGGAAUCUUCCCUGUGGCCCUGCUGACACCUUGAUUUCAGACUUCUAGCCUCUAGGAUUGUGGAAGAAUACAUUUCUGUUGUUUGAAGCCA
This is a long non-coding RNA of Lagenorhynchus albirostris (white-beaked dolphin), 2601 nucleotides long. RefSeq lists it as uncharacterized. The record is from RefSeq and is a predicted model, not a curated record. Lineage: Eukaryota; Metazoa; Chordata; Mammalia; Artiodactyla; Delphinidae. The transcript is spliced from 4 exons.